Long non-coding RNA from Phyllostomus discolor (pale spear-nosed bat), 325 nucleotides. RefSeq lists it as uncharacterized. The record is from RefSeq and is a predicted model, not a curated record. The transcript has 2 exons. NCBI's taxonomy places the organism in Eukaryota, Metazoa, Chordata, Mammalia, Chiroptera, Phyllostomidae.
AGCAUUCCUUUCCUCAAAGUUAGUGAGCACAGAGUAACAAUGCUAAAAAUUAAGAGCAAAAUCUAAAACUAAGUAGUCAAAAAGCUUCCUUAAUAGCUACUACUUGGAUGAUAAAAUAAGAUAUAUUUCUCAAAAAGUAUUAGACAAGUAAUCCUAAGUAAAAAAGUUUUUAAAAGGUCCCUUUUUGUUUUUGCUAGUUUAUGAUAUACAAACUUUCUGUGAUGAAUGUUUUUACCUUAAACACUGAUAUUUUCAAUACUAGAGUUCUGAUGGUAUAGUUAUUUGGAUAGGGGAAUUGAACACUGUUGAUUUAAAAGACAGAUUA